Molecule: long non-coding RNA, 684 nt
Filed under: Pollicipes pollicipes
Lineage: Eukaryota; Metazoa; Arthropoda; Thecostraca; Pollicipedomorpha; Pollicipedidae
Description: uncharacterized LOC119093581
Source: RNAcentral
CCCUGUACCGGCCCGCACCGGAUCAGUGCUCGACGAUCAGCGUCGGCGGCAGCGUUCCGGCUCAUUCGCUGUAGGAGAGACUUCGAGAAAGGACAUCGGGAUAGCAGGGCCGCCGCCACCACACCGCAACGAUGGGCAAGGGAGGACCAAAGAAGGGAGCCGCCGCGGCACCCGCCGCUCCGGCUACCAAGAGCGAAGCGAAGAAGGGUGAGAAGGCGCCCAAGGAGGCCAAAGGUGGAAAGAAAGGUGGCAAGAAGUGACGGCGGCGAGUCGUGAUGCCACGGCGUCCACAUCUGCUGGCUUCACUGGGCGACGCGCUCCUGGCUUCGCUGCCGAUCGUGGUCGAGACGCAUCAUAAAGCGCCCGUGAGCUCGGUCCGAGCCGGUCGAAGACAGAGCUGUUCGCCCUAUUUCGUUGUGUUCAAGGCUGUGUGACAGUUUGCUGUUCCUCUAUCGUACCUGUCUGGCACAAGAGGCACUGCCGAGUGCCAGUUGGGGCACGCGGGCGUCUAUCGUAGAACGAAGCAAACGCGAUGUACUGUGGUCACGCUCACAGUCGAACGGCCGUUGUGCGCUCAUCGCCGAGGCUACUGAGCUUGUGUGUAGUGCUUCUUACAGGCAAGAUGGCCUACCUUGAUUGUCCAGUGUUCAGUGUCACCAAAUAAAUGAGGAGUUGGUACUUGAA